Molecule: unclassified non-coding RNA, 182 nt
Filed under: soil metagenome
Description: partial contains 5.8S ribosomal RNA, internal transcribed spacer 2, and large subunit ribosomal RNA
Source: RNAcentral
AACCAUAGAAACCUGCGGAGUACCUGCGGAAGGAUCAUUAAAAAAAUGAUGAAUGUCGGGGGGCGUUCAGAAUUAGUUUUACUUUUUUUGUCGCUCUCCGUGUAUUCAACCAACCCGCUCUUGCAUUUGGAUCAACCAAAAAUAAACAAAAAUACUAAAAAUAAACUUUUAACAACGGAUCU